AAUCAAUAGCACACAAUAUAACCUGGGAUCCCACAGGCAGUCGUCUUUUAACUGGUUCCAGCUAUUUGCAGCUCUGGUCCAAUACUAACUUGGAGAAGCCAACUGAAGAUGAAAAUUUAAAUAAAACAGAUCUUAACUUUGGAGAUUGGAGAUGCAUUUGGCAUUGCAAAACUGCUUCCCAAGUUCAUUUAAUGAAAUUUUCACCAGAUGGAGAAUUUUUUGCCACUGCUGGGAAGGAUGACUGUCUUUUGAAGGUAUGGUAUAAUGUAGAAAACUGGCGGACAGCUGUUACUUCUCCAGAUGGAAGUUCAGAAAAACAAUCCCAAGGAGAAAUUGACUUUUCUUUUGUGUAUCUGGCCCAUCCUCGAGCAGUAAAUGGAUUUUCCUGGCGUAAAACAAGCAAAUAUAUGCCUAGGUAAAUCUGAGACAUUUUCGUAGAGGUCGGAGGAGAUCACUUGCACUGGUAGCACAUACGGGAUAUCUGCCACAUCAGCAGGAUCCUCAUCAUGUUCACAGGAACACUCCACUGCAUGCCAAUGCACUUUGCCACUUUCAUAUUGCAGCCAGCAUCAACCCAGCCACAGACAUUCCACUUCUUCCAUCUAUUACAUCUCUGAGUCUAAAUGAAAAUGAAGAGGAGACUGGACCUUUUGUUGUACACUGGCUAAACAAUAAAGAACUGCAUUUUACUUUGUCCAUGGAAGUU
Molecule: small RNA, 706 nt
Filed under: Pongo abelii (Sumatran orangutan)
Lineage: Eukaryota; Metazoa; Chordata; Mammalia; Primates; Hominidae
Description: processed transcript
Source: RNAcentral